UACGGAGGGUGCAAGCGUUAUCCGGAAUCAUUGGGUUUAAAGGGUCCGCAGGCGGCUUUAUAAGUCAGUGGUGAAAGCCCGAUGCUUAACAUCAGAACUGCCAUUGAUACUGUAAGUCUUGAAUUCGAUCGAAGUGGGCGGAAUAUGACAUGUAGCGGUGAAAUGCUUAGAUAUGUCAUAGAACACCUAUAGCGAAGGCAGCUUACUGGGCUGUAACUGACGCUGAGGCACGAAAGUGUGGGGAUCAAACAGG
Molecule: ribosomal RNA, 253 nt
Filed under: uncultured bacterium
Lineage: Bacteria
Description: partial 16S ribosomal RNA
Rfam family: Bacterial small subunit ribosomal RNA
Source: RNAcentral